RNAcentral lists this ribosomal RNA (443 nucleotides) under uncultured bacterium. Its description in RNAcentral is "partial 16S ribosomal RNA". It matches the Rfam family "Bacterial small subunit ribosomal RNA", at positions 338 to 795 of the family's 1533-position model. The record is from RNAcentral.
CCUACGGGAGGCAGCAGUGGGGAAUAUUGGGCAAUGGGCGCAAGCCUGACCCAGCAACGCCGCGUGAAGGAAGAAGGCUUUCGGGUUGUAAACUUCUUUUGUCAGGGACGAAGCAAGUGACGGUACCUGACGAAUACGCCUCGGCUAACUACGGGCCAGCAGCCGCGGUAAUACGUAGGUGGCAAGCGUUAUCCGGAUUCACUGGGUGUAAAGGGCGUGUAGGCGGGACUGCAAGUCAGAUGUGAAAACCACGGGCUCAACCUGUGCACUGCAUUUGAAACUGGAGUUCUUGAGUACUGGGGAGGCAGACGGAAUUCCUAGUGUAGCGGUGAAAUGCGUAGAUAUUAGGAGGAACACCAGUGGCGAAGGCGGUCUGCUGGACAGCAACUGACGCUGAGGCGCGAAAGCGUGGGGAGCAAACAGGAUUAGAUACCCUAGUAGUC